Molecule: non-coding RNA, 104 nt
Filed under: Limihaloglobus sulfuriphilus
Lineage: Bacteria; Pseudomonadati; Planctomycetota; Phycisphaerae; Sedimentisphaerales; Sedimentisphaeraceae
Also listed under: 1 other name
Description: Phycisphaerae bacterium SM-Chi-D1 TPP riboswitch aptamer (THI element)
Rfam family: TPP riboswitch aptamer (THI element)
About the family: Vitamin B(1) in its active form thiamin pyrophosphate (TPP) is an essential coenzyme that is synthesised by coupling of pyrimidine and thiazole moieties in bacteria. The previously detected thiamin-regulatory element, thi box was extended, resulting in a new, highly conserved RNA secondary structure, the THI element, which is widely distributed in eubacteria and also occurs in some archaea. Analysis of operon structures identified a large number of new candidate thiamin-regulated genes, mostly transporters, in various prokaryotic organisms.
Source: Rfam by way of RNAcentral
AAAUAUUGUCAGGGGAGCCGUUGUGGCGGCUGAGAGGUUACCGAAGUAACGACCCUUUGAACCUGUUGGUUAGAACCGGCGUAGGGAGCCAAUGCUGAAAAUUG